CCCUUAGAUGUUCUGGGCCGCACACGCGCUACACUGAAGGAGGCAGCGUGUACUCCUGGAUCGAAAGAUUUGGGUAACCCGCGAAUCUCCUUCGUGCUAGGGAUUGAGGUUUGCAAUUAUCCUUCAUGAACGAGGAAUUCCCAGUAAGUGCACGUCAUAAGCUUGCGCUGACUACGUCCCUGCCCUUUGUACACACCGCCCGUCGCUACUACCGAUUGAAUGAUUUAGUGAGGACUUCGGACUGGGACCGAUGCGGCUUUCGGGCUGCGUCGGUAUUCUGGAAAGAUGUCCAAACUGUAUCAUUUAGAGGAAGUAAAAGUCGUANCA
RNAcentral lists this ribosomal RNA (327 nucleotides) under uncultured eukaryote. RNAcentral's name for it is "partial 18S ribosomal RNA". It matches the Rfam family "Eukaryotic small subunit ribosomal RNA", at positions 1470 to 1796 of the family's 1831-position model. The record is from RNAcentral.